GAUGAACGCUGGCGGCGUGCCUAAUACAUGCAAGUCGAGCGAACAGACGAGGAGCUUGCUCCUUUGACGUUAGCGGCGGACGGGUGAGUAACACGUAGGUAACCUACCUAUAAGACUGGGAUAACUUCGGGAAACCGGAGCUAAUACCGGAUAAUAUUUCGAACCGCAUGGUUCGAUAGUGAAAGAUGGCUUUGCUAUCACUUAUAGAUGGACCUGCGCCGUAUUAGCUAGUUGGUAAGGUAACGGCUUACCAAGGCAACGAUACGUAGCCGACCUGAGAGGGUGAUCGGCCACACUGGAACUGAGACACGGUCCAGACUCCUACGGGAGGCAGCAGUAGGGAAUCUUACGCAAUGGGCGAAAGCCUGACGGAGCAACGCCGCGUGAGUGAUGAAGGUCUUCGGAUCGUAAAACUCUGUUAUUAGGGAAGAACAAACGUGUAAGUAACUGUGCACGUCUUGACGGUACCUAAUCAGAAAGCCACGGCUAACUACGUG
Molecule: ribosomal RNA, 497 nt
Filed under: uncultured bacterium
Lineage: Bacteria
Description: partial 16S ribosomal RNA
Rfam family: Bacterial small subunit ribosomal RNA
Source: RNAcentral